RNAcentral lists this ribosomal RNA (510 nucleotides) under uncultured Glomus. RNAcentral describes it as "SSU rRNA". It matches the Rfam family "Eukaryotic small subunit ribosomal RNA", at positions 624 to 1136 of the family's 1831-position model. The record is from RNAcentral. Lineage: Eukaryota; Fungi; Glomeromycota; Glomeromycetes; Glomerales; Glomeraceae.
AAGCUCGUAGUUGAAUUUCGGGAUCAAAUUGUCGGUCGUGCCUCGGUACGUACUGGCGUUAUUGGUUCCUCCCUUCUGAAGAACCGCGAUGUCAUUAAUUUGGUGUCGCGGGGAAUCAGGACUGUUACUUUGAAAAAAUUAGAGUGUUUAAAGCAGGCUCGCGCUUGAAUACAUUAGCAUGGAAUAAUGAAAUAGGACGUUUGAUUCUAUUUUGUUGGUUUCUAGGAUCGACGUAAUGAUUAAUAGGGAUAGUUGGGGGCAUUAGUAUUCAAUUGUCAGAGGUGAAAUUCUUGGAUUUAUUGAAGACUAACUACUGCGAAAGCAUUUGCCAAGGAUGUUUUCAUUAAUCAAGUACGAAAGUUAGGGGAUCGAAGACGAUCAGAUACCGUCGUAGUCUUAACCAUAAACUAUGCCGACUAGGGAUCGGAUGAUGUUAAUUUUUUAAUGACUCAUUCGGCGCCUUACGGGAAACCAAAGUGUUUGGGUUCCGGGGGGAGUAUGGUCGCANGG